This 453-nucleotide small RNA is filed under the name Malus domestica (apple). RNAcentral's name for it is "sRNA MD12G0135600". The record is from RNAcentral. Lineage: Eukaryota; Viridiplantae; Streptophyta; Magnoliopsida; Rosales; Rosaceae.
UCAAAUCCCUCUAUUUUUUUUCUCUUUCCUUUAUUCCAAAUUUAAAUAACCAGAUAAAAAGCCUCAAAGAACCUCUUUUCCUGACUCCUCCCCCUCUUUCCCUAGGGAUCAUUCUGCGAAAUUUAAUCCCAGACCGAUCAACACAAAUUCAUACUGAAAAGUUGAUUCUUCUUACUGUUAUGGAAGCUCAAAUUGCAGUAAUUUUACUGGGAACACUUAUUUGCGGUGGUGUGCAACUUUGCUGCUACUUCAUGACCUGUGAGAUAUAUUAGUUGGAAUUUUCCCACCGAAAGAAUUCGAAGACAGGUUGAGAUACUGCAGGCCUAGUAGACGUCCGAUUUCUUGAGGAAUUUCGCCGUGAAAGUUGUUGUCUAUCAAGUUGAUUCCAUUAAGAUAAGUAAGAUUUCCGAUUGAAGGCGGUAUGGAGCCUACCAACUUUUGAGCUUCCAAGUU